UACAGAGGUCUCAAGCGUUGUUCGGUUUCAUUGGGCGUAAAGGGUGCGUAGGCGGCGCGGUAAGUCGGAUGUGAAAUCUCGGAGCUUAACUUCGAAACUGCAUUCGAUACUGCCGUGCUUGAGGACUGGAGAGGAGACUGGAAUUUACGGUGUAGCGGUGAAAUGCGUAGAUAUCGGGAAGAACACCCGUGGCGAAGGCGACUACCUGGCCUGUUCUUGACGCUGAGGCGCGAAAGCUAGGGGAGCAAACGGG
RNAcentral lists this ribosomal RNA (253 nucleotides) under uncultured bacterium. RNAcentral describes it as "partial 16S ribosomal RNA". It matches the Rfam family "Bacterial small subunit ribosomal RNA", at positions 524 to 776 of the family's 1533-position model. The record is from RNAcentral.